RNAcentral lists this microRNA (21 nucleotides) under Callorhinchus milii (elephant shark). RNAcentral describes it as "eshark_NOVEL_4". Lineage: Eukaryota; Metazoa; Chordata; Chondrichthyes; Chimaeriformes; Callorhinchidae. The record is from RNAcentral.
UUCAUCCAUCGAUGCAUGCGC